AAAAAAAAAGGAAAAACUUCAAAUACCACGAGGUGGUUUCGCACUUUCUCACUAUAGUACUCUAUGGUUUAAUAUUUCGUUAAAUUAUAUACAAAAAACUUCAUAUAUCUUACCUAAGUUUAUCGAAUAUUCAUUUUAGUACCUUUAGUUUUAACUUUGUCACUGAUCUAACAAAAAAACACUCCGAAAUGAAUAAUAAAAAGAAAUAAAAUGAAACAACAGAGUACUAACUUGAUACAAAAAUGAAACCAUAUAGUACUAACUUGAUGCACUUUAAAUCACAAGGGUACUAAAAUGAGGAAGUGCGGAACCACAGAAGAGGUUUUUGAAAUUUUCCCAAAAAAAAAAAAAAAAGAAUAGAGGAGGUUGGAAUGAGAAGCGAGCCACGGAUUCCGAGCAAUUUAUUAAUUAAUUAAUUUUGUGGGUGUUUUUGGGCGAAAUUGGGACGGGGAAUCUGUGGGUGAUGACGGGGCUACACGUGUGCGCCACCCCACGUGCCACUCACGGGACCCGCACGUGCUCGUCCUACUUCAACCCGUGUCUUAAAUAUUUCCUCCAUAAAAAAUUUUAAGUAAUAUUUAUUUUGCACCAUAUUUUCGCCUUAUUCUGUGUUAAUUAAUCCGUGAAUUAUUCGUGAAUCUAAAUUAAACAGUUUGUUUACGAAUUUUUUUUUUAAAGAAAAAAAAUUAUUUGUAAAUUUUUUAGCCAGUCGAAUAAUUUACGAAUUAUUAAAAAUUUGACUAAAAAUUUAUAAUUUUGAUGUUUAAAUAUAGAUUAUCUUAUAUUUUAUAUUUUACAUCGAAUCUAUUUUUUAAGUCGAAUUUUUUAACGAAUUUAAAAAUUGGAAAAUAAAUUUUAUGCGUAUUAUAUUUAUACCGAAUUUUUGCUGAAUCCAAACUAACUAACUACGGUCCUAGUU
RNAcentral lists this long non-coding RNA (919 nucleotides) under Ananas comosus (pineapple). Its description in RNAcentral is "long non-coding RNA (ACOM_LNC000088)". The record is from RNAcentral. Lineage: Eukaryota; Viridiplantae; Streptophyta; Magnoliopsida; Poales; Bromeliaceae.